CCGACAAGCGGAGGAACAUGUGGUUCAAUUCGAUGAUACGCGAGGAACCUUUACCCGGGCUUUGAAAUGCAAUCGACCGAUGAGGAAACUCAUCUUCCAGCAAUGGCGAUUGUGUAGGUGCUGCAUGGUUGUCGUCAGCUCGUGCCGUGAGGUGUCGGCUUAAGUGCCAUAACGAGCGCAACCCUUAUCGUUAGUUGCCAGCGGGUGAUGCCGGGAACUCUAGCGAGACUGCCACCGUAAGGUGUGAGGAAGUGGGAUGACGUCAAAUCAGCACGGCCCUUACGUCCGGGGCGACACACGUGUUACAAUGGGGGGUACAGAGGGUUGCUACACAGCGAUGUGAUGCUAAUCUCUAUAAAGUCUCUCUCAGUUCGGAUUGGAGUCUGCAACUCGACUCCAUGAAGUUGGAAUCGCUAGUAAUCGCGGAUCAGCAUGCCGCGGUGAAUACGUUCCCGGGCCUU
Molecule: ribosomal RNA, 461 nt
Filed under: uncultured Paludibacter sp.
Lineage: Bacteria; Pseudomonadati; Bacteroidota; Bacteroidia; Bacteroidales; Paludibacteraceae
Description: bacterial SSU rRNA
Rfam family: Bacterial small subunit ribosomal RNA
Source: RNAcentral